AGAGUUAGCCGUCUCUUCCUCUUGAGGUACUAUCAACCUUGCACGCUUCUCACGCACAAGGCUUGCUCCCUCAUGACAGAGGUUUACAACCCGAAAGCCUUCUUCCCUCACGCGGCGUUGCUGGGUCAGGCUUGCGCCCAUUGCCCAAUAUUCCCCACUGCUGCCUCCCGUAGGAGUCUGGACCGUGUCUCAGUUCCAGUGUGGCCGAUCAGCCUCUCAGCUCGGCUACCCAUCGUUGGCUAGGUGGGCCGUUACCCCGCCUACUACCUAAUGGGACGCGAACCCCUCCUUUAGCGGAUUUCUCCUUUGACCUCUGUGUCAUGCGGCACUGUGGUCUUAUGCGGUAUUAGCACCUGUUUCCAAGUGUUAUCCCCCUNUAAAGGGCAGGUUGUUCACGCGUUACUCACCCGUUGCCACUAAGUACAAAACCGAAUUCUGUACUCCGUUCGACUUGCAUGUGUUAGGCACGCCGCAGCGUCGUCUGAGCAGANACAACUACUGA
Molecule: ribosomal RNA, 502 nt
Filed under: uncultured bacterium
Lineage: Bacteria
Description: partial 16S ribosomal RNA
Source: RNAcentral